Molecule: ribosomal RNA, 253 nt
Filed under: uncultured bacterium
Lineage: Bacteria
Description: partial 16S ribosomal RNA
Rfam family: Bacterial small subunit ribosomal RNA
Source: RNAcentral
UACGUAGGGUGCAAGCGUUAUCCGGAAUUACUGGGCGUAAAGCGUGCGUAGGUGGUUUGUUAAGUCUGUUGUGAAAGCCCCGGGCUCAACCUGGGAAUGGCAAUGGAUACUGGCAGGCUAGAGUGCGGUAGAGAGUAGUGGAAUUCCCGGUGUAGCGGUGAAAUGCGUAGACAUCGUAAGGAAGACCAGUGGCGAAGGCGAAUCUCUGGACAGUUACUGACACUGAGGCACGAAGGCCAGGGGAGCAAACGGG